ACUUAAUCCAAGAGUAAUGAUGUUGCAGACAUUGUUAUGCUAUGUGUUUCUGUGGAUAUCAUGUAAGUUAAGGAACAAAUAUAAUGUUGUCUUGUUCUUUGUUUUAAAUACUUACACAGUGUAAUCCUUUUUAUCUUUACAGAUGUUCACUCACAGUCCCCGGUAAUAAUUCCUUCAGUUGGAUCUGUUGGUUCUGGACAAAGUUUUACUUUUAAUUGCAUCGUAGGAGCCCAUCAAUCUGAUGGAAUGGCUUUCUUUAAACAAACAAAGGGUGAACCUCCAAAGCUUAUUUUUGGCCAUCAUCAUACAAUACAAUCUCCUGUGUAUGGACCCGGAAUAUCUUUAACCCACUAUACUGGCUCAAGAAACAGUGCAGGCACUGAAUAUCAAUUAAUUAUUAAAAAUACAGAUAUAUCUGAUACUUCACUGUAUCACUGUGCUAACUGGUAUGUAAGUCUUACUGGGUAU
Molecule: non-coding RNA, 468 nt
Organism: Pelobates cultripes (western spadefoot toad)
Lineage: Eukaryota; Metazoa; Chordata; Amphibia; Anura; Pelobatidae
Source: the annotation of a GenBank genome assembly